This 301-nucleotide ribosomal RNA is filed under the name uncultured bacterium. Its description in RNAcentral is "partial 16S ribosomal RNA". It matches the Rfam family "Bacterial small subunit ribosomal RNA", at positions 509 to 807 of the family's 1533-position model. The record is from RNAcentral.
CAGUAGCCGCGGGAAUACGAAGGGGGCUAGCGUUGCUCGGAAUGACUGGGCGUAAAGGGCGCGUAGGCGGCGGCCAAAGUCAGGCGUGAAAUUCCCGGGCUCAACCUGGGGGCUGUGUUUGAUACUUGAUUGCUAGAGUGGGGAAGAGGGUCGUGGAAUUCCGAGUGUAGAGGUGAAAUUCGUAGAUAUUCGGAAGAACACCAGUGGCGAAGGCGGCUAACUGGUCCGGUUCUGACGCUGAGGCGCGAAAGCGUGGGGAGCAAACAGGAUUAGAUACCCGCGUAGUCCCUGUCUCUUAUAC